RNAcentral lists this ribosomal RNA (468 nucleotides) under uncultured bacterium. RNAcentral describes it as "partial 16S ribosomal RNA". It matches the Rfam family "Bacterial small subunit ribosomal RNA", at positions 28 to 507 of the family's 1533-position model. The record is from RNAcentral.
GACGAACGCUGGCGGCGUGCUUAACACAUGCAAGUCGAACGGAAAGGCCCUGCUUUUGUGGGGUGCUCGAGUGGCGAACGGGUGAGUAACACGUGAGUAACCUGCCCUUGACUUUGGUAUAACUUCAGGAAACUGGGGCUAAUACCGGAUAGGAGCUCCUGCUGCAUGGUGUGGGUUGGAAAGUUUCGGCGGUUGGGGAUGGACUCGCGGCUUAUCAGCUUGUUGGUGGGGUAGUGGCUUACCAAGGCUUUGACGGGUAGCCGGCCUGAGAGGGUGACCGGCCAAAUUGGGACUGAGAUACGGCACAGACUACUACGGGAGGCAGCAGUGGGGAAUAUUGCACAAUGGGCGGAAGCCUGAUGCAGCAACGCCGCGUGCGGGAUGACGGCCUUCGGGUUGUAAACCGCUUUCGCCUGUGACGAAGCGUGAGUGACGGUAAUGGGUAAAGAAGCACCGGCUAACUACGUG